This 467-nucleotide ribosomal RNA is filed under the name uncultured bacterium. RNAcentral describes it as "partial 16S ribosomal RNA". It matches the Rfam family "Bacterial small subunit ribosomal RNA", at positions 28 to 507 of the family's 1533-position model. The record is from RNAcentral.
GACGAACGCUGGCGGCGUGCUUAACACAUGCAAGUCGAACGGAAAGGCCCUGCUUUUGUGGGGUGCUCGAGUGGCGAACGGGUGAGUAACACGUGAGUAACCUGCCCUUGACUUUGGGAUAACUUCAGGAAACUGGGGCUAAUACCGGAUAGGAGCUCCUGCUGCAUGGUGGGGGUUGGAAAGUUUCGGCGGUUGGGGAUGGACUCGCGGCUUAUCAGCUUGUUGGUGGGGUAGUGGCUUACCAAGGCUUUGACGGGUAGCCGGCCUGAGAGGGUGACCGGCCACAUUGGGACUGAGAUACGGCCCAGACGCAUACGGGAGGCAGGAGUGGGGAAUAGUGCACAAUGGGCGGAAGGCUGAUGCAGCAACGCCGCGUGCGGGAUGACGGCCUUCGGGUUGUAACCGCUUUCGCCUGUGACGAGGCGUGAGUGACGGUAAUGGGUAAAGAAGCAACGGCUAACUACGUG